GAUGAACGCUGGCGGCGUGCCUAAUACAUGCAAGUCGAGCGAACAGAUGAGGAGCUUGCUCCUCUGACGUUAGCGGCGGACGGGUGAGUAACACGUGGAUAACCUACCUAUAAGACUGGGAUAACUUCGGGAAACCGGAGCUAAUACCGGAUAAUAUAUUGAACCGCAUGGUUCAAUAGUGAAAGACGGUUUUGCUGUCACUUAUAGAUGGAUCCGCGCCGCAUUAGCUAGUUGGUAAGGUAACGGCUUACCAAGGCAACGAUGCGUAGCCGACCUGAGAGGGUGAUCGGCCACACUGGAACUGAGACACGGUCCAGACUCCUACGGGAGGCAGCAGUAGGGAAUCUUCCGCAAUGGGCGAAAGCCUGACGGAGCAACGCCGCGUGAGUGAUGAAGGUCUUCGGAUCAUAAAACUCUGUUAUUAGGGAAGAACAAAUGUGUAAGUAACUAUGCACGUCUUGACGGUACCUAAUCAGAAAGCCAUGGCUAACUACGUG
This 497-nucleotide ribosomal RNA is filed under the name uncultured bacterium. RNAcentral describes it as "partial 16S ribosomal RNA". It matches the Rfam family "Bacterial small subunit ribosomal RNA", at positions 28 to 507 of the family's 1533-position model. The record is from RNAcentral.